RNAcentral lists this long non-coding RNA (1165 nucleotides) under Mytilus galloprovincialis (Mediterranean mussel). The record is from RNAcentral. Lineage: Eukaryota; Metazoa; Mollusca; Bivalvia; Mytilida; Mytilidae.
GCCGCGUGAAUAAAUCAAAUGUUGCAAUGAUAAAUUUUUUUAGGUAUAUUUUUCUCUGACAAUAUCUGUAUGGACAAUAAUAUUUUGAAACGGAAAUUCCCUUAUCAAAUGGCAAAUUCAAAAGCUCAAACACACCAAACGAAUGAAAAACAACUGUCUUAUUUCUGACUUGGUACAGGCAUUUUCUUAUGUAGAACAUGAUAAAUUAAACCUUAUUUUAUACCUAGCCAAACUUUGAAAUGAUCCUUUAGUAUUUUUCUAGAUCUAUCUGAUCAGAACGCUCAACUCUUAACAUUUUAAAGACAUAGAUGAGUACACACGAUGCAAUGUAUGGUCAAUCAUGUCUUGAAGGCUCUAUACUGACUUGAAGACGAAAAACAACAUAUAUGGCAGUUCACACAGAAGUUGCGGAAUUUCUGUCAAGCCGGUACUAGGAACCGGAAUGAAAUGUAAUUGUCUUUCAGUGAAAAAGGCAUCACUAUGACAUUAAAACAAACAAUAAAACAGCACGGCGUCUUUGUUUCGUUAUUUUUUCAAAUGGGUUUCAUGAUUUUGUAUCGUUAAUGAUUCACCAUUAUUACUGUUUUAUUAUCAUUUUAAAACAUGUACUCUGUUUCUAUUCAAAGGAGUUAAUAUUCAACUUUGAGUAUAAGUAAUCAUUUCAGUAAUCAUUGAUGUAAGUUUAGUUCUCUUAUUCUGACAUAUAUAUUUCCAUGUUUGAGCAGUGGUUCUUUAAAAUUGUACGCUGAGCUUUUAGCUUUUACUUCGUGUGAUGAACUGCAUUUUCUUUCUUUCGCUUUAUUCAAAACAUGGACGCAUUGUUUCAUACAUGUAUACAUCAUAUUAACUCAUUUUGACUACCAUAAAUAAUUCUAGCUGUAAUAUCAGUAUCCAAAGUAGAGAAGAGUUUGGCGCUCUAUUACAUGUUUAAACUUGCUACAUUAUGUAUGUGUCGAUCCAAAUCAGAUGCUUAUAUAGCUAACCUUGCGGUAUAGGUUUAGCUUAUUGUUGAAUGCCAUACGGUGGCCUAUAAUUCCUAGUUUCUACAUUAUUUGGUCUCUGCUGGAGAGAUGUCUCAUUGACAAUCUUACCAUAUCUUCUUAUUUUUACAUUUAUAAAAGCGGAACAGGCUUUAUAUGAAUGCAUCAGUUAUAGUAUAACGAAU